GACGAACGCUGGCGGCGUGCUUAAUACAUGCAAGUCGAACGGAAAGGCCCUGCUUUUGUGGGGUGCUCGAGUGGCGAACGGGUGAGUAACACGUGAGUAACCUGCCCUUGACUUUGGGAUAACUUCAGGAAACUGGGGCUAAUACCGGAUAGGAGCUCCUGCUGCAUGGUGGGGGUUGGAAAGUUUCGGCGGUUGGGGAUGGACUCGCGGCUUAUCAGCUUGUUGGUGGGGUAGUGGCUUACCAAGGCUUUGACGGGUAGCCGGCCUGAGAGGGUGACCGGCCACAUUGGGACUGAGAUACGGCCCAGACUCCUACGGGAGGCAGCAGUGGGGAAUAUUGCACAAUGGGCGGAAGCCGGAUGCAGCAACGCCGCGUGCGGGAUGACGGCCUUCGGGUUGUAAACCGCUUUCGCCUGUGACGAAGCGUGAGUGACGGUAAUGGGUAAAGAAGCACCGGCUAACUACGUG
This 468-nucleotide ribosomal RNA is filed under the name uncultured bacterium. RNAcentral's name for it is "partial 16S ribosomal RNA". It matches the Rfam family "Bacterial small subunit ribosomal RNA", at positions 28 to 507 of the family's 1533-position model. The record is from RNAcentral.